This 731-nucleotide ribosomal RNA is filed under the name Bacillus albus. RNAcentral's name for it is "bacterial SSU rRNA". It matches the Rfam family "Bacterial small subunit ribosomal RNA", at positions 86 to 799 of the family's 1533-position model. Lineage: Bacteria; Bacillati; Bacillota; Bacilli; Caryophanales; Bacillaceae. The record is from RNAcentral.
AUGAAGUUAGCGGCGGACGGGUGAGUAACACGUGGGUAACCUGCCCAUAAGACUGGGAUAACUCCGGGAAACCGGGGCUAAUACCGGAUAACAUUUUGAACCGCAUGGUUCGAAAUUGAAAGGCGGCUUCGGCUGUCACUUAUGGAUGGACCCGCGUCGCAUUAGCUAGUUGGUGAGGUAACGGCUCACCAAGGCAACGAUGCGUAGCCGACCUGAGAGGGUGAUCGGCCACACUGGGACUGAGACACGGCCCAGACUCCUACGGGAGGCAGCAGUAGGGAAUCUUCCGCAAUGGACGAAAGUCUGACGGAGCAACGCCGCGUGAGUGAUGAAGGCUUUCGGGUCGUAAAACUCUGUUGUUAGGGAAGAACAAGUGCUAGUUGAAUAAGCUGGCACCUUGACGGUACCUAACCAGAAAGCCACGGCUAACUACGUGCCAGCAGCCGCGGUAAUACGUAGGUGGCAAGCGUUAUCCGGAAUUAUUGGGCGUAAAGCGCGCGCAGGUGGUUUCUUAAGUCUGAUGUGAAAGCCCACGGCUCAACCGUGGAGGGUCAUUGGAAACUGGGAGACUUGAGUGCAGAAGAGGAAAGUGGAAUUCCAUGUGUAGCGGUGAAAUGCGUAGAGAUAUGGAGGAACACCAGUGGCGAAGGCGACUUUCUGGUCUGUAACUGACACUGAGGCGCGAAAGCGUGGGGAGCAAACAGGAUUAGAUACCCCUGGGUAGUUCCACG